This 229-nucleotide long non-coding RNA is filed under the name Physcomitrium patens. RNAcentral's name for it is "long non-coding RNA (PPAT_LNC005522)". Lineage: Eukaryota; Viridiplantae; Streptophyta; Bryopsida; Funariales; Funariaceae. The record is from RNAcentral.
UCAAGCUUUUGCAAGGUUACCAGUUUGGUUUUUGAUUGGAGGGUUUUGAAGAUCAAGGGAAUUAGAGAGAGGAGCUUCAUGCUUCGGGUCGAGGAAGGAAAGACAUAGAAUUUGGAUUUUUCUUCUUCGUAGAGUUUUGAGAAGACUAAGGCAAUCGCUGCAGAAGUCAGUGUUGUAAUGGUGAAUCGGGAUUUUUAAAUGAAGUGGGUUUAAAUACUCUUGACUGUUU